Molecule: long non-coding RNA, 486 nt
Organism: Centruroides sculpturatus (bark scorpion)
Lineage: Eukaryota; Metazoa; Arthropoda; Arachnida; Scorpiones; Buthidae
Exons: 3
Source: RefSeq, a predicted model, not a curated record
GGGUUCGCAAAACUGAUUUAUGAGUGGAAAGCAUAAUCAAUUAUAUAUCAUUUUGAUAAUUGUUGAGUCCAAUGUAUGUUUUAAAUCAAGGAUUUUACGAAACUGGUUUAUAAGUGGAAAGUAUAAUCAAUUAUGUACAACUUUAACAACGGUCGUACUUAAGUUGGUUGAAAAAAUUUUGAGAAUAAGCUGAUGUCACUGAAAAAAUAUCUAGAGUAAGCUGUCACUUCAAUUUAUAAAACUUGUAUGCAUAGUUGGUGAAGAGGGGUUUAAGAGCCCGAAACGUGUAAUUUUUUCACACGUAUCAACUAAAUAAAAAUAAGAGAACCCGCCAAGUGUCUUAAUUUAUAGCACUUCAUUGUGUUAGGAGCAGCUACAGGAAAGGACUUUGACGAUAAACGUUUAGGUCACAUGAAAUGCCUACGAGUGGUCGCUGUAUUCAAACUUUUAAUUAUUAAUGAUCGCCAUUUUCUAAAUUUUUCCAAA